UACGUAGGGACCUAGCGUUGUCCGGAAUCAUUGGGCGUAAAGCGCGUGUAGGCGGCUUGCCAAGUCCGGUGUGAAAUCUCGGGGCUUAACCCCGGAACUGCACUGGAAACUGGCUUGCUUGAGUCCGGAAGAGGAGAUUGGAAUUCCUGGUGUAGCGGUGAAAUGCGCAGAUAUCAGGAAGAACACCCGUGGCGAAGGCGGAUCUCUGGGACGGUACUGACGCUGAGACGCGAAAGCGUGGGGAG
Molecule: ribosomal RNA, 245 nt
Filed under: uncultured Gaiella sp.
Lineage: Bacteria; Bacillati; Actinomycetota; Thermoleophilia; Gaiellales; Gaiellaceae
Description: partial 16S ribosomal RNA
Rfam family: Bacterial small subunit ribosomal RNA
Source: RNAcentral